Mustela lutreola (European mink) is the source of this 460-nucleotide long non-coding RNA. RefSeq lists it as uncharacterized. The transcript has 4 exons. Lineage: Eukaryota; Metazoa; Chordata; Mammalia; Carnivora; Mustelidae. The record is from RefSeq and is a predicted model, not a curated record.
GCAGAUCCAGCCUGUUGGGUGAAGCAGAGUGUCACCCAGCCCGAGGAGCGAGCCUGGCCCCGAAGUCACAACAGCAGGCAGGUGAAGAGCUGGGCGGCAUCGGGACUCGUUCGUGGUUUUGCCUGACUUUGAAUCCUGUGACCAUGGGAACCGGGAAGGGAAGGCCUUUGCUGAAGCUGCCUGAUGAGGCAGGGCUGUGCAGUCCAGACCAUGCAGAGAAGCUCACCACUUGCAGCAAAGACAGCCAGCCUCGGGAAGACUUAGUGAGGAAUGGUUCAUAGAAAGCAGGCACCAGACGGUGGAGAGACAUAUGCAAGUCUGUUUUGCAAUCCCCUGGACUUUUUCUCUUUUGCCGAUUCUAACCCAGGCGGAUGGCAUCAUGUAUGUGUCUGAGGUCGAUACGAUUCGGCGUGCAUCUCCUUCCAUGUUAGAGUUACAGAGCUCUCCAAAGGCAACUAUA